This 1437-nucleotide ribosomal RNA is filed under the name uncultured bacterium. RNAcentral describes it as "bacterial SSU rRNA". It matches the Rfam family "Bacterial small subunit ribosomal RNA". The record is from RNAcentral.
AGAGUUUGAUCAUGGCUCAGAACGUACGCUGGCGGCACGCCUAACACAUGCAAGUCGAACGAAGUAGCAAUACUUAGUGGCAGACGGGUGAGUAACAUGUGGGUAUCUGCCCUUUGGCCUGGAAUAACACGAGGAAACUUGUGCUAAUACCGGAUAAGUCUUUACGGAGAAAGCUUUAUGCACCAUUGGAUGAGCCCGCACUUGAUUAGUUUGUUGGUGGGGUAAUGGCCUACCAAGACUGUGAUCAAUAGCUGAUUUGAGAGGAUGAUCAGCCACAUUGGGACUGAGACACGGCCCAAACUCCUACGGGAGGCAGCAGUGGGGAAUCUUGCACAAUGGAGGAAACUCUGAUGCAGCGAUGCCGCGUGAGUGAAGAAGGCCCUUGGGUUGUAAAGCUCUUUCGUCGGGGAAGAAAAUGACUGUACCCGAAUAAGAAGGUCCGGCUAACUUCGUGCCAGCAGCCGCGGUAAUACGAAGGGACCUAGCGUAGUUCGGAAUUACUGGGCUUAAAGAGUUCGUAGGUGGUUGAAAAAGUUAGUGGUGAAAUCCCAGAGCUUAACUCUGGAACUGCCAUUAAAACUUUUCAGCUAGAGUAUGAUAGAGGAAAGCAGAAUUUCUAGUGUAGAGGUGAAAUUCGUAGAUAUUAGAAAGAAUACCAAUUGCGAAGGCAGCUUUCUGGAUCAUUACUGACACUGAGGAACGAAAGCAUGGGUAGCGAAGAGGAUUAGAUACCCUCGUAGUCCAUGCCGUAAACGAUGUGUGUUAGACGUUGGAAAUUUAUUUUCAGUGUCGCAGCGAAAGCGAUAAACACACCGCCUGGGGAGUACGACCGCAAGGUUAAAACUCAAAUGAAUUGACGGGGACCCGCACAAGUAGUGGAGCAUGUGGUUUAAUUCGAAGAUACGCGCAGAACCUUACCAACACUUGACAUGUUCGUCGCGACUCUAAGAGAUUAGAGUUUUCGGUUCGGCCGGACGAAACACAGGUGCUGCAUGGCUGUCGUCAGCUCGUGUCGUGAGAUGUUGGGUUAAGUCCCGCAACGAGCGCAACCCUCACUUUUAGUUGCCAUCAUUAAGUUGGGCACUCUGAAAGAACUGCCAGUGAUAAGCUGGAGGAAGGUGGGGAUGACGUCAAGUCCUCAUGGCCCUUACGUGUUGGGCUACACACGUGCUACAAUGGUAUCUACAACAGGAAGCAAGACUGCGAGGUCAAGCAAAUCCUUAAAAGAUACCUCAGUUCGGAUUGCACUCUGCAACUCGAGUGCAUGAAGCUGGAAUUACUAGUAAUCGUGGAUCAGCGUGCCACGGUGAAUGCGUUCCCGGGUCUUGUACACACCGCCCGUCACACCAUGGGAGUUGGUUCUACCUUAAGGCAAGGUUUCAAACCCUUGACCACGGUAUAGUCAGCGACUGGGGUGAAGUCGUAACAAGGUAACCG